Molecule: long non-coding RNA, 558 nt
Filed under: Capra hircus (goat)
Lineage: Eukaryota; Metazoa; Chordata; Mammalia; Artiodactyla; Bovidae
Description: lncRNA (ENSCHIG00000004380.1)
Source: RNAcentral
GGAAGGAGGAAGUGUGAGGAGGCUGGAAAGGACCCUGUGCUUAGCCAAAAUACCUGGAGAGCCGGAGAAAAUGGCGGGAUGUGAGAGGGGGAAAGGAUGGGGUCACACAAAGAAAAAGAGUUAGACUUGACCUCUUUUCCACUCCAGGAAUGAGAUGUAAGCCAGGAGGCAAGCCUGAGGCCGAGAAGCCCCCAGGGAUGGCAGAGUCUCCUGCAGGACUGGAUGUGGCCAGGGCUGAGGUCAAGGCCCCGAGGGCAGCCAUGGGCAAGGUGGAUGGAAAUGAGACCAAGAGAAAAAAAUAAGUGGCUUCAUAACUUCACUUUAUCCAGAGAGUGGAAAAUAAAAUGCAAGAUUCCAAUCCCUGCCCUUCCAUUUCAUCUUUGAAAAAUACAGGAAGAGGUGGGCUGUUUUGGCUCCCUACCAUGGAUAAGGAUCUUGAAGGAGGAACUUGGCAGACCUUCUCCAUUCCCUGGGGCUUCGGCAAGGCAGUAGAGGAGGAAGGAGCACACGUAUGCCAGUGAGUAAGAGUCCUCAAGUGCAAAUAGCAGGGGACUUAUC